Non-coding RNA from Anas platyrhynchos (mallard), 1511 nucleotides. NCBI's taxonomy places the organism in Eukaryota, Metazoa, Chordata, Aves, Anseriformes, Anatidae. The record is from RefSeq and is a predicted model, not a curated record.
AGCCAAUGCCGCAAAAUGGCGGCGGGGCGCAUGCUCGGGGAGGGGCGGGGCGGGGGAGGAGGAGGCGGGGGCGCGGCGCGCAUCAUGGCGGCGGCGGCGGGCUCGCUGUGGCGGUCGGGGGCUGUCAGGUGGGGCGGGGGGUGCCGCCGGCUGUGGGCGCCGCCGGCCGCCGCUGCUGCCUCCUCCUCCUCCUCCUCCUCCUCCUCCUCCUCCUCCUCCUCUCCCGCUCCGGGCGUGCUGAGCCCCUUCGAUCGGCGGCUGAAGCGGAAGCAGAAGAACUGGGCGGCGGUGCAGGCGCAGCGGGCGCAGUGCGAGUACCUGCGGGAGGAGGUCGGCGGCAGGGUGGCCGACAGGCUGCUGGACAUCCCCAGGACCUUCCCUCUCGCCUUGGACCUGGGCUCUGGGAGAGGUUACAUAGCGCAGCAUUUAACCAAGGAAAUUGUUGAAAAACUUGUUCAAGUUGAUAUGGCAGAGAAUGUUUUUAAAAAUGCUGUAGAAUCUGAAGUACCUACGAUCAACGUUGUAGCUGAUGAGGAAUUCCUUCCUUUCAAAGAAGAUACAUUUGAUCUUGUUGUUAGCAGCUUGAGUUUACACUGGGUGAAUGACCUUCCUAAGGCUUUUAGAGAGAUUCACCAAGUUCUUAAGCCAGAUGGAGUAUUUAUCGGUUCGAUGUUUGGGGGAGACACUCUCUAUGAGCUUCGCUGCUCUUUGCAGCUAGCAGAAUUAGAGAGAGAAGGGGGUUUUUCUCCUCAUGUAUCACCGUUCACUGCUGUAUCAGAUUUAGGACAUCUCCUGUCAAGAACUGGCUUUAACACUCUGACUGUGGAUACUGAUGAAAUUCAAGUAAACUACCCAGGGUUGUUUGAGAUAAUGGAAGACUUGCAAGGUCAUCUGCUGUUGUGUAGAGUCAAUACCUUAAUGAAAAUAGAACUUUAAUUCCCUGCAGAAGCAUUCAGAUACAGUAAGUGAUUAAGGAAAAUUAUCUAAGAUUAGGUUUAUGAUUUUUUCUUAUUAAAAAUCUUCUGGGGGUAUUUAGUUUUGAUGAUAAAAAUACGAGUUGUGUCUGAACAAACACUUUGUACUUGGUGGGUAAAAAAAAAAAUUAUUAGAAAAUCUAAAUGCUUGAACACUCUGGCUGGAAGGUAAUAAUCUGAAAUCAUUCCUAGCAAUACAAACAGUAAAUUGCAAAGCAUGGGCAUUAAGAGGCUUGGAUCUGUACAGGUAAGAAACUUCCCUGCUGUAGGUUGUACUCUUACAGUGAGAUUCAGAGGAUUCUGUACUUACUCUGGUGUAAUAAAAACCUGCCAUUAGUGCAUGACACUUAACUCAUGAUAUAUGCUGUAUCUUCUUUUCCUUAAAGCUGAAACAUAUUUUUAGGUAUGGGAGAGAGUAAUUGCUCUUGGAACAGAAAACCUCUGCUUCACAGGGAUACGAUGCUGGCAGCUGCAGCAAUAUACCGAGAAAUGUAUGGAAAUAGCGAUGGCACAGUACCUGCAACAUUUCAGAUCUUC